AUUUAGGUAGUUUAAUAAGAAUAAUAAUUUGUGAUGUUGUUGGUGAUAUUUAUCUCUAAAUU
This 62-nucleotide transfer RNA is filed under the name Malcus auriculatus. RNAcentral describes it as "tRNA-His". The record is from RNAcentral. Lineage: Eukaryota; Metazoa; Arthropoda; Insecta; Hemiptera; Malcidae.